UUUUAGUAGACACGGGGUUUCACCAUGUUGGCCAGGCUGGUCUCGAACUCCUGACCUCAAGUGAUCUGCCUGUCUUGGCCUCCCAAAGUGCUGGAUGACAGGCGUGAGCUACUGCACCUGGCCCCCAUCUGAUAACAUUUUAAAGCCCCUUGAUACAGCCAGGUUUGAAGAACCUCUGUGACUGUCGGUUAAGUGAGUUAGUAAAUCAUAUCCCCUUUUGUUUUUAGCCAGUUUAUUUUUUCUUUUUGUCUUUUGUAGGCUGAAAACCUUUGACUAAUACACCAGACUGCCAAUCUUGACUAUUGCCAGAUUGAUAAUCAAUAUCCUAUAGUCAGAAAGAAAAGAAGAGGGAAAGAAGGAAAGAAAGAAAGAAAACAAUAAUGCUCUUUUAUGCAGGACUUGUCAGAGCCUUGGAUAUGCUAAAGUGCGUAAUUCUCCAGGCAGAGGAUGGAGUAUUCAUUCAUUCACUCAGCAAGCGUUAACUGGACACAUACUCCAUGCCCAGUGAGGGGUGAUCCUGGAGACACAGAUGGCCGAGACAGUCCUGGGCUUUGCUUUCGGCAAACCACAUUAUAGGGGAUAGGGAGACAGAUGGCCAUAAAAUGUCACCCAGCCAAACACAUCAUUACAAAUUGUGACAUGAGGCAGGGCUGGGAUAUACGAGAAGGCUAGAGGGAGCUCCCGGGAGACUGUUCAUGUCUGGGGCUGGUUGGGGGGCAAUUUGUGGUGAGAACAGAUGUCCCCUGAAACCCCUCAGUCUGUUCCCCACACACCUCAGAGGAACCUGUUAACACCUAAGUCAGGUCACAGACCCUGGGGUAUUGAUUUCUAUUUACCAAACACUUUGUACCUGCCAGGCUCUAUUUUAGGCAGUGAACAAAUCACCACUGCAAUGAACAAAUCAGACAAAAACCCCGACCCCUGUGGAACUCAAAGCUCAGUAGGUGAGACAAAUCAAGAAAGGGACAAAUAAGUAGGAUAUAUUAUGUGUCACAAGAUAGGAAGGGGCCACAGAGAAAAAUAAAAUGCCACCGAGGGAGGGGAGUGCCGGCAUGGAGGGUGGGGUGAGGUUGCACUUUUCAGUCGCUGCAAGGAGAGCGUCCCUGGGAAGGUGGUGCAAGAACAAAGACCUGCAGGAGGUGAGAAAGUGUCAGGAGGUGUGUGAGAUCAGCACGGAGACAGAGGGACUUGCAGAUGCAAAGAUCCCAAGGCUGGUGUGGGGGACUGGGGGGAGUGCUCCAGGAACAGUGGGAGGCCAGAGCAGAGUGAGCCAGGGAGGGGCAGAUCAGGUGGGAGCUAGAAAUAGAGCAACAUCAGGGCUUUGCUGGCACCUGGUGUGAGGUGCAGCCAGG
This 1352-nucleotide long non-coding RNA is filed under the name Homo sapiens (human). RNAcentral describes it as "HSALNT0258809". The record is from RNAcentral. Lineage: Eukaryota; Metazoa; Chordata; Mammalia; Primates; Hominidae.